UACAGAGGUGGCAAGCGUUGUUCGGAAUUACUGGGCGUAAAGGGCGCGUAGGCGGCCUUCUAAGUCAGACGUGAAAUCCCCCGGCUUAACCUGGGAACUGCGUCUGAUACUGGGAGGCUUGAGUAUGGGAGAGGGAUGUAGAAUUCCAGGUGUAGCGGUGAAAUGCGUAGAUAUCUGGAGGAAUACCGGUGGCGAAGGCGGCUAUCUGGCCAUGUACUGACGCUGAGAUACGAAAGCGUGGGGAGCAAACAGG
This 253-nucleotide ribosomal RNA is filed under the name uncultured bacterium. RNAcentral describes it as "partial 16S ribosomal RNA". It matches the Rfam family "Bacterial small subunit ribosomal RNA", at positions 524 to 776 of the family's 1533-position model. The record is from RNAcentral.